This 469-nucleotide ribosomal RNA is filed under the name uncultured bacterium. RNAcentral's name for it is "bacterial SSU rRNA". It matches the Rfam family "Bacterial small subunit ribosomal RNA", at positions 329 to 795 of the family's 1533-position model. The record is from RNAcentral.
UCCCAGACUCCUACGGGAGGCAGCAGUGAGGAAUAUUGGUCAAUGGGCGCGAGCCUGAACCAGCCAAGUCGCGUGAGGGAUGACGGCCCUACGGGUUGUAAACCUCUUUUGUCGGGGAGCAAAUUCCGUUACGUGUAACGGAGUCGAGAGUACCCGAAGAAAAAGCAUCGGCUAACUCCAUGCCAGCAGCCGCGGUAAUACGGAGGAUGCGAGCGUUAUCCGGAUUUAUUGGGUUUAAAGGGUGCGUAGGCGGGCUGUUAAGUCGGGGGUCAAAUGUCGGGGCUCAACCCCGGCCUGCCGUUGAAACUGGCGGCCUCGAGUGGGCGAGAAGUAUGCGGAAUGCGUGGUGUAGCGGUGAAAUGCAUAGAUAUCACGCAGAACUCCGAUUGCGAAGGCAGCAUACCGGCGCCCUACUGACGCUGAGGCACGAAAGCGUGGGUAUCGAACAGGAUUAGAUACCCCCGUAAUA